CCGCGGCCCGGGCCCUCCCCGGGAGCCCGGUCUGGCGCCGACUUUCCCGUCAGGCGAAGGCCUAGACACCUGCGCCCUUAAAGGAGCCGCGUCCCCAAUUUGAGGGAGCGUCUAGAAACUCCUCCUCGGGAAGCGCGCGUCCACCCGAGGACACGCCAGCAAGCAAGGGGGGAAAUGGGAGACAGAGAUCGCCAAGAGCUCCCCGGAUGCCCGGCGGAUACCUCUCCGGGCAUAUAUCCUGGGGGUCUCCUUGGGGUCAAGGUCCGGCGCUGGCGGGCAGAGACCACUGAGGCCUAAGGAACCCCCAAGCGUCGCAGGACGGUGACGAUCCCCCGAAUACAGAGCCCUGUGAAACCUCUUGCGAUUGGCCAGUUCGAGACCCUGGCCGGGGCGUCCCUGGAAUCUUCCCAAUGAGCUGAGGCCGUACAGAAAGCCGAAUGCUUGGAGGAUCGACGGGAGGCCUUUCUCUCCUCCUUUCCGUUCCUUCCUUCCCUCAUUUUUCUCUGCCCUUCUUCCCUUUUUCUUUCCACCCCCAGUCGUCCUUCUUCCUUCCUCCAGAGUCCCCUGGCUGAGGUUGUCGGGUCCCUGAAGUCUGUGGUCCACCUUCCUAUCCCCUACAGCGCCCUCAGUGGGUGCUCCGGAUGAACCCCAUGCACUCCAUCCAUCCUAUUGCUCUGAGGAAGUAAAUGUGACUGGAGAGAAGUCCUAAUCCAGUGUGACUGGUGUCUUUAUAAAAGACAAGAGACACAGAGGGAAGAUGGCUAUGUGAUCUGAGGGGCAGAGACUGGAGUGAUGCAUCCACAAGCCAAGGAGUGCCUGGGGACACCAGAAGCUGGAAGAUGCAAGGAAGCAUCCUCCCCUAGAGCAUUCAGAGGGAGCAUGGCCUGUGGACACCUGAAUUUAAACUUCUAGCCAAACAAGAAAUUUCUGUUGUUUUAAGCCACGAAAUUUGUGGUACUUUGCUACCAAAGCCCCAGGAGACUAAUGUCACUUGUCUUUAAAGUCCAUCCUGACUCAUAGUGACCCUAUAUGACAGGACAGAGCUGCCCCAUAGGGUAAUUUCUACCAGGAGCAGAUUGCCAAAUCGUUAAUCCCAUAGAGCUGCUAGUGGGUUUGAACCUCGGACCUUUCUGUUAGCAGCUGCUUAACUCUUGUCAUCAAGGCUCCUUAAGAGACUAGUACAGCCAGUUAAAUUAGAAUUUCAGAUGCUGAAACCCACUGCCAUUGAGUUAAUUCUGACCCAUCUUGUUGAGGGUCUUUCUCUUUUUCACCAACUCUCUACCAAGGAUGAUGUUCUUCUCCAAGGACUGAUCCUUCCUGAUAACAUGUCCAAAGUAUGUGAGUUGAAGUCUUGCCAUUCUUCUAAGGAAUAUUCUGGCUGUACUUCUUCCAAGACAGAUUUGUUCGUUCUUCUGGCAGUCCAUGGUAUAUUCAACAUUCUUCGCCAACACCAUAAUUCAAAGGCAUCAAUUCUUUGGUCUUCCUUAUUCAUUGCCUAGGUUUCGCAUGCAUAUGAGUCGAUUGAAAACACCAUGGCUUGGGUCAGACACACCUUAGUCCUUAAAGUGACAUCUUUGCUUUUUAACACUCUGAAGAGGUCUUGUGCAGCAGAUUUGCCCAAUGCAAUGCAUCUUUUGAUUUCUUGACUGCUGCCUUCAUGGGCAUUGAUUGUGGUUCCAAGUAAAAUGAAAUCCUUAAUAACUUCAAUCUUUUCUCCAUUUGUCAUAAUGUUGGUUAUUGGUCCAAUUGUGAGGAUUUUUGUUUUCUCUUACCAUUAGUAAUAUGUAUUGCAUGUAAUGUUGCUGCAUGUAAUUUGCUAAUGUUAUUGUUCUCAGAUGUUCACUCUAAAAUGUUCAGUUUUAUGAUUGACUGUUCAAAGCAAGCUAUGGCCUGGUCUACAGUGAAGUCGGUAUUGGUGUCUUGAGUCUUAAAGGAUAGAAAGCUGAGGAAUGUUCAGCUCUAAGGACACACACAAUUGAGCUGCGUUAGCGCCUGACAGCGGUUACAACUCUAGCUUCAUUGUUCUUACUCUGAUGCUGACUUCAUUGUAGACCAGGCCUAUGGUGUGAUCUUAUUCAGCAUCUGGUACCAUAAGAAGCAUCAGUUGUUAAUCUGAAGUUGAGUUGUUCAAGUUUCUCUAACUCACACUUGUACUGCUUAUACCCCCAACAAUAUGCCUAGUAAAAGAAGUCAAGCCGCUGAAAGUUCUAAUCCAAAAAAGAAGGUGAGGAAGGUUCUAGACAUGGAUAUAAAAAUGAAGAUCGUUAAGGCCUGUCCUAUAAUAAUGAGGAAGUUGUCAAAAAAUUUUACAGUGAAAGGAUUAGCUGACUUGUUUUCUGAACUAAAUCAUGGUCUUCAGUUGCUUGACAACAUG
Molecule: long non-coding RNA, 2374 nt
Organism: Loxodonta africana (African savanna elephant)
Lineage: Eukaryota; Metazoa; Chordata; Mammalia; Proboscidea; Elephantidae
Exons: 2
Source: RefSeq, a predicted model, not a curated record